RNAcentral lists this ribosomal RNA (495 nucleotides) under uncultured bacterium. RNAcentral describes it as "partial 16S ribosomal RNA". It matches the Rfam family "Bacterial small subunit ribosomal RNA", at positions 29 to 506 of the family's 1533-position model. The record is from RNAcentral.
AUGAACGCUGGCGGCGUGCCUAAUACAUGCAAGUCGCGCGAACGGACGAGAAGCUUGCUUCUCUGAUGUUAGCGGCGGACGGGUGAGUAACACGUGGAUAACCUACCUAUAAGACUGGGAUAACUUCGGGAAACCGGAGCUAAUACCGGAUAAUAUUUUGAACCGCAUGGUUCAAAAGUGAAAGACGGUCUUGCUGUCACUUAUAGAUGGAUCCGCGCUGCAUUAGCUAGUUGGUAAGGUAACGGCUUACCAAGGCAACGAUGCAUAGCCGACCUGAGAGGGUGAUCGGCCACACUGGAACUGAGACACGGUCCAGACUCCUACGGGAGGCAGCAGUAGGGAAUCUUCCGCAAUGGGCGAAAGCCUGACGGAGCAACGCCGCGUGAGUGAUGAAGGUCUUCGGAUCGUAAAACUCUGUUAUUAGGGAAGAACAUAUGUGUAAGUAACUGUGCACAUCUUGACGGUACCUAAGCAGAAAGCCACGGCUAACUACGU